UUCCUCAUUGAUUAGGAUAUAAAAAGGCUGGCUUGGAGGCAGCCAUGAUCUGCUGUCGAGAAUCACACUGAAAGAACGGUUGACGACCCACCCCAGUCCUGCGUAGAAGCAAAAUGAAGGCGUUUUUUCUUCUUUGUCUGCUUUGCAGUUUGAGACUCAUCUUGGCUUUUGUCCCUGGACCUCUCCCAGCAGAGGAAAAUGAGCCGUGUGACAUCGAAGCAUUGAGCAACUGCACCAAAAUCGGAUGCUGGUGUUACCAGUACUUCCCAGGGCCCCUGUCUUUUUAUUCUGCCAAUGAGUUUUGCAGAAAUCGAGGGUGUGGAGGACGCCUGGCUUCAAUCCACAGUUAUAAGGAGAACAAAUUGGUCUUUAAGCUUGUGCGUAAAGGGAACUCCUGUAGGCAGACAGCCUGGAUUGGGGCGCUCAGGUGU
Molecule: long non-coding RNA, 431 nt
Organism: Polyodon spathula (Mississippi paddlefish)
Lineage: Eukaryota; Metazoa; Chordata; Actinopteri; Acipenseriformes; Polyodontidae
Exons: 4
Source: RefSeq, a predicted model, not a curated record